CCCUUAGAUGUUCUGGGCUGCACGCGUGUUGCAAUCGGGAGUACAACAAGAUUGCAAAUCCUAGUGGAUGAGUGGUUCUUCGAAAUUUUCUGAAGACUGGGAUAGUUGAUUGAAAUUAUUCAACUCAAACGAGGAAUUCCUUGUAAUUGUAAUUCAUUAUAUUGUAAUGAAUACGUCCCUGCCCUUUGUACACACCGCCCGUCGCUCCUACCGAUUGAACGAUCCGGUGAAUUAUUUGGAGUAGCUCUGGAAGUUGCAGAACUUCCUAUGUCACGAAAUUUUGUAAACCUUAUCGUUUAGAGGAAGGAAAAGUCGUAACA
This 320-nucleotide ribosomal RNA is filed under the name uncultured eukaryote. Its description in RNAcentral is "partial 18S ribosomal RNA". It matches the Rfam family "Eukaryotic small subunit ribosomal RNA", at positions 1470 to 1796 of the family's 1831-position model. The record is from RNAcentral.